AGGAAAGGAAGUUGGUGUGUAUG
RNAcentral lists this non-coding RNA (23 nucleotides) under Cricetulus griseus (Chinese hamster). Lineage: Eukaryota; Metazoa; Chordata; Mammalia; Rodentia; Cricetidae. The record is from RNAcentral.